This 435-nucleotide long non-coding RNA is filed under the name Cricetulus griseus (Chinese hamster). Its description in RNAcentral is "lncRNA (ENSCGRG00015031747.1)". Lineage: Eukaryota; Metazoa; Chordata; Mammalia; Rodentia; Cricetidae. The record is from RNAcentral.
CUCCUGGACAGAAAUGAGGACCUGGGAACAAUAAAACUCUAGAUCAGGACCCAUAGUUUCAUCUCAACACAGGACAGACUGCAUUCCAGUACUAACUACAGUGUCAUCACACAGUAUGCAGCUUCUUUCCCAAAACCCUAUGGAAAAACAAUCCCUUGUCCUGGAUGUGACCCUUUACUAUAUGCAAAUGGGGAUGUGGUGGAAGACUAAGAGAAUUCCUCUACCUACAAUGACUGCCAUUACCAUCCUUGUCCAGUGACUGAUAAGCAGCUUCAGGAAUUCUACAUCUAUGGAAAUGCUUCUCGCAGUGCAAAAGUCCUGCCUGUCCUGGAACUGACUUUGUAAACCAUGCUGGCCUGGAACUCACAAAGAUUCAUCUGACUCGGCAUCCCAAGUGCAGGCAUAAAAGGCUUGAGCCAACUUACCAGGUCAUUG